AAGGCGCUUCCCUUCCUUGACUUUUUGGGUCUGGCUCCCGUUUUGAUUUCAGCCAGAGGCACCACAGAUAAUUACAAAACCAUGUAAGGCUCCUCAAACUCAAAAUAAUCUGAAUUGACUUCUUCUGCCAGUCUUGCUUUUUCUUCUUUAAAGUUAACUGGGAAAAUAAUUUGUGAUCUACAGAGCCACUAAAGCAACAAACCAGUUACUCUGUAUUCCUUCACUUCACUAGACUCAUAUAGCUAAGGACGUGGUGGCUCUGCUGUGAUGAACCUUCACCUCCCACAGAGAAUGCAUUCCCAGCUCAAUGGCAUCUCCUCAGAUUGGUUCUCAUAUAAGUUGGAUCAUAGCGCCUACUAUUUGUAACUUGCUUCUCUACUUUCCAGUAUAUCUUGGAGAGAGUUGUGAAUCAGCACACACUAAGCUACCUCAUUCUUCAUGGCUUUAUACUAUUUUGUUGUAUGAUUGUGUGUCAUAAUGUAUUUAAUUGUUGAUGGGCAUGCAGGCUGUUUUCAUUCUUUUAGCUAGUAAAAACCCAUAUAUGACUUCUUAGAGGCCCUUGAUUGUUUUGUUUCUACAUUGUGAGAUUAUAAAUUGACAAUAAAAGGUUAAAGGUAUUUACAUGAUUUUCUUCACAUAUCUGACUUUUAAUGAACUAUUUUAGGUUACCAUGACUUUCAUAUAGUACUUCAGUGUAAUACUAAUAAUCUG
This 711-nucleotide long non-coding RNA is filed under the name Homo sapiens (human). RNAcentral's name for it is "HSALNT0310041". The record is from RNAcentral. Lineage: Eukaryota; Metazoa; Chordata; Mammalia; Primates; Hominidae.